RNA transcript from Osmia bicornis bicornis, 3604 nucleotides. It is a transcript of the gene named ran-binding protein 9, with no coding region annotated. The transcript has 8 exons. Lineage: Eukaryota; Metazoa; Arthropoda; Insecta; Hymenoptera; Megachilidae. The record is from RefSeq and is a predicted model, not a curated record.
GGAGUGUUGCGCAGUCAGUUAAGCACAGUCCACUGGCAAAAGUAGUGGGGCUGCCCAGGAGAAAGAUGGCCGCCACCAGCGAGGAAUCGAGUGUUAUGGAGCCUUCUCAGACGAAUUCCGGGCAAAAUCAGCCCGUUGAUCCUCUUAAGAUGCUCUAUCCGAUGGUAAAUGAAGAGGAAACACCGUUGCCACGAUCGUGGAGUCCUAAGGACAAGUACAAUUACAUCGGCCUCUCCCAAAACAAUCUUCGUGUUCACUACAAAGGUUAUGGAAAAACCCAUAAGGAUGCCGCAAGUGUACGUACAACGCACUCAAUACCAGCAGCCUGUGGUCUCUAUUAUUUCGAGGUGAAGAUUGUCAGUAAAGGCAGAGACGGCUACAUGGGAAUUGGCCUCUCUGCCCAUGGGGUUAACGUGAAUAGGCUGCCAGGGUGGGACAAGCACUCCUACGGUUACCACGGCGACGAUGGUAACAGCUUCUGUUCGUCGGGAACGGGACAGCCUUAUGGGCCCACGUUCACCACGGGGGACGUGAUCGGCUGUGGUGUAAAUCUCGUCGAUAACACUGCCUUCUACACGAAGAAUGGACACCACCUUGGUAUCGCAUUCACUGAUCUUCCGCCAAAUUUAUAUCCCACGGUGGGUCUUCAAACGCCAGGAGAGGUAGUAGACGCAAACUUUGGACAGGAACCUUUUGUCUUCGACAUUGACGACAUGCUUAACGAGCUUCGUGUCAAAACAAGAUUGCAAAUAAUAAACUAUCCAACACCAGACCAUGGACAGGGUCAGUGGCAAGCAGUUCUUCAUAAAAUGGUUUCAACAUAUUUAGUCCAUCAUGGUUAUUGUGCUACUGCCGAGGCGUUUGCCAAUAGUACCGGCCAAGGAUUUGAAGAAGAUCUUAACUCCAUUAAAAAUAGACAAAAAAUUCUAAAAUUAGUACUGGCAGGCAGAAUGGGAGAGGCCAUAGAGUUAACCAGUAGACUGUACCCAGGUCUUCUGGAACGGGAUCCAAAUCUUCUCUUCGCUUUAAAGUGUCGGCAAUUCGUCGAGAUGGUGAACGGCAGCGACUCCGAGAUCUCUCAGAACUCUAACAUUAAUCAAACUAGUGUUAUACAGUCAACGAAGGCUUAUACCAAGUCCUCGACAAACGGUAACGUCGAGGAGAUGAAUAUGAACAACGCGAUAAACGGUUCCACAGAACAAUUGCUCGUCAACGGACAAAUCGAGAACGAUGUAGAUAUGGAAGAGAACGUUAUGAACGGUCUGAAAAGUAAUAACGAAAACGGCUAUCAGAAUGGUGAUCUAAAUACCAAUGGAUACAAGUGCCAGAAUGGAGAGGAUGUCGAUAUGGAGACCAACAGUCUUAAUCAAAUUCAGCAGCAGCAGAAUGGAGGUUGCAUUCUAGAGAACACAUUGAAUAAAAGUAAUAAGAAGCAGCUUUGCGGCGGGGACAAACAAGCGAUCGAGAAGAUGUUAGAAUUCGGCAGACAGCUGUAUUCUCAAUCGAUACAUCUGCGACAGCAACACGGAAAGAACGAAAGCAAUAAAAAGAUGCUCCAAGAUGCGUUUAGUCUUCUAGCUUAUGCAAAUCCGUGGAACUCGCCGGUUGGAUGGCAGCUCGAUCCACAACAGAGAGAAACCGUCUGUGCGAGACUCAACUCUGCUAUACUCGAAUCGAGUAAUUUGCCACGACGACCGCCGUUGGAAGUGGCAGCGUCACAUGCGAGAGAGUUGGUACGGCUGAUGUCUCACGCUGGUCUUGGGGCAUGCGGCUUCGCGGUCGUAGACAAUAUCAUCCAAUAUUGACGGUGCCUACCCCUGCUACCACGUCUGCUUCUUCUGCCGGCUCGAGUUUGGAUGUGGAGACGGAACGUGGAGCAGAUAAUACUUUUGCAGCAACAACUUCGCGACAUCGCGUGCCUCUUCAGCUAGAGUCCGCUCUACCGGCAGUUGGCUCUCUGGCUCGAUCUCACGUCUACACCCCAACAGGAAGAACCACACAAGCGAAUAUACAUACACGUAAACACACGCCCGCAGCGAGGAAGAAAUGAAAACCCACCAAAUGUAUGUUACACGAUACGCCACGGGGACGAGGAUGAAUAUGAACCUUCUGACUGUGAUCAUCGAGGAUCAUCGUUACGCCGAAUAGUCCAGAGAACUGAAUAAGACCCAUAAAGAAUGCUGGAGAACAAAGGAUGACGAAAAACUAGGUUGUUGAUCUGAUUUAACACGGUUGUGAAACCAGGAAGAGACGAAGAGGAUGAUGACGAAGGACAAGGUUGAGAUGGAUGCGAAUAAAAAAGAAGUUAAGGAUCACGUUUAAAAAAAAAAGAAAAAAAAGACACCUGCCAAGACGACCCUUUUCUCGUUUCCUCUUUUUAGCCCUGUUAUUCAUCAUCAUCAUCAUCUCGAGGUUGUUCCUUCGUUCCCAAUUAAUUACCGACUGUGUUACCCGUCGUUUUGUCAACGAGGAGUAUACUUUUUAUAUUCGUCUUGUUUAGAGCAGGUAGGUUUAAUAUUAAACCUUAUCAUUUGUUUUCGUCAUCGCCUAACGCCUUCUGUCGUAUCGAAAUUCUAGUAUCACCAUCUGUCGGUUCUAUUAUAUUUUUUUAAGUUUGUUGAAUAUAACCGUUUGCUUCCAGUGCGAUGAAAAAUUUUAAGUUUUGUUUCAUUGUAACAGAUAUAUUGUUAAAUUUAAUUGUAUUAACAGAUUGUUUCAUCCUUAUGUGUAUUUUAACGUUUUGUAUUGUUAAUUAUUGCGUGUACAAAUUAAUUUGAUGCUUAUGACGAAGGAUCAAAGAUUUAUUUCGAAAAAAUUAUAGUGAAAUAUUUAAAUUUUUAAAAUUGUGAUUGAUAAAUAGGCAACGAAUUAAUUUGUACACCUAUUUUUUGAAUGAAUUUUAAAAAGUCUCUCAUCCAUUCAUCGUCGCCCAUUUUUAAACGAGAAAAGAGCCUCGUCUAUACUAAUUAAUUAAUUAAUCCCUCGUCGAUUAUCCUGAUAGCCUUUCUAAUCGUAUCGUCAACGAGUCGAUUUUUGUAUCAAUUGUUAGCUCUUAAAGAAAAGUGAAAAAAGAAAAAAAAAAGAGAUACGUGAAAAAAGAUGAUGAAAUAAAGAAAAUAUUCUUCGAUUAAGUUUCGUUAUUGUAUAUUAUAAGGGAUACGGAACGUUUGAUUCUUUCGAUCGAACAAUGACGAAAGCAAUAAUUUUUCAUUUUGUAAUGAACCUUUUUUUUUUUGGUACUCGUUUUUUCUCUAUCUUUUUUUUUUUAAUCGUCAUACGAAUUUUUUCAACACUUUACAAUCGUUGAGCUGAAUUUCCGUUUGAUUUUACUCGAUCUAGGUUUGCGACUAAUGAAUUUUAAGAACCAAAAAAAUUGUGUACUAGUGAUAUGAAAAAAAUAAGGAGCGUCGUGUGAUUACCAGAAACUUUGUAAAAAAAAUAAGUGAAAAAAUAGAGGAAACCAAAAAAAAAAAUAAUUGAGCGAUCAAUUCGAUGGAAACUAUAUAUACUAUAUAUUGAUUCUGAAUGAUUAUAAAGAUCGAAAAUUAUGACAAGUUAUAUAUAAAGUGCAAAAAAUGAAUAAAAAGUUAUAUAAUUAAAGAGA